This 244-nucleotide ribosomal RNA is filed under the name uncultured bacterium. RNAcentral's name for it is "partial 16S ribosomal RNA". It matches the Rfam family "Bacterial small subunit ribosomal RNA", at positions 524 to 766 of the family's 1533-position model. The record is from RNAcentral.
UACGAAGGGGGCUAGCGUUGCUCGGAAUCACUGGGCGUAAAGCGCACGUAGGCGGAUUGUUAAGUCAGGGGUGAAAUCCUGGAGCUCAACUCCAGAACUGCCUUUGAUACUGGCGAUCUUGAGUCCGGGAGAGGUGAGUGGAACUCCGAGUGUAGAGGUGAAAUUCGUAGAUAUUCGGAAGAACACCAGUGGCGAAGGGCGACUUACUGGACACAUAUUGACGCUGAGGUGCGAAAGCGAUGGG